CUAACAGUAUUUGUUAUCUCUCUCAGUUUCUGCAGGUCAGAACUUCAGAUAGGGCAUAGUGGGAUGGAUUGUCUCUGUCCUAUGAUGACUGUGUUAUUAGCUGGAAGACUUCACAGCUGGGGACUGGGAUCAUCUGAAAACUCAUCCACCCGUACGUUUGGUUGUUGAUGCUGGCUGUCAGAUCACAGGCAGAGAAGCAGGCAGAGAGACAGGUGGAAGCAGGCUCCCUGCUGCGCAGAGAACCUGAUGCAGGACUUGAUCCCAGGACCCUGGAAUCAUGA
RNAcentral lists this long non-coding RNA (281 nucleotides) under Mustela putorius furo (domestic ferret). RNAcentral's name for it is "lncRNA (ENSMPUG00000027254.1)". Lineage: Eukaryota; Metazoa; Chordata; Mammalia; Carnivora; Mustelidae. The record is from RNAcentral.